UACGUAGGUGACAAGCGUUGUCCGGAUUUACUGGGCGUAAAGAGCUCGCAGGCGGUCGUUCAAGUCGAGUGUGAAAGCCCCCGGCUCAACUGGGGAGGGUCACUCGAUACUGAUCGACUCGAAGGCAGGAGAGGGAAGUGGAAUUCCCGGUGUAGCGGUGAAAUGUGUAGAGAUCGGGAAGAACACCCGUGGCGAAGGCGACGUGCUGGGCUGAACCUGACGCUGAGAUGCGAAAGUGUGGGGAGCAAACGGG
This 253-nucleotide ribosomal RNA is filed under the name uncultured bacterium. RNAcentral's name for it is "partial 16S ribosomal RNA". It matches the Rfam family "Bacterial small subunit ribosomal RNA", at positions 524 to 776 of the family's 1533-position model. The record is from RNAcentral.